CUUUGAAAUGGGAAAUUCUUUCCUAGUGCCUCGAACGUAAUAAAUGACUUGAAGUGGGUAAGAAGAGGCUACAAGAAUGAAUGAGUGAGUGAGUGAACGUAAUAAAUGACUUGAAGUGGGUAAGAGGCUACAAGAAUGAAUGAGUGAGUGAGUGAGUGAAUGUAAUAAAUGACUUGAAGUGGGUAAGAGGCUACAAGAAUGAAUGAGUGAGUGAGUGAGUGAAUGUAAUAAAUGACUUGAAGUGGGUAAGAGGCUACAAGAAUGAAUGAGUGAGUGAGUGAGUGAAUGUAAUAAAUGACUUGAAGUGGGUAAGAGGCUACAAGAAUGAAUGAGUGAGUGAGUGAGUGAAUGUAAUAAAUGACUUGAAGUGGGUAAGAGGCUACAAGAGUGAAUGAGUGAAUGAGUGAGUGAAUGGUGGGCAGGAUAUGAGGAGCCUUAAGGAUUUACCUCCAGCAGGGAUGGGGCAAGUGACCAAUGGAGCUCCAAGCAUCUGCGGGAGGUAAACAGCAGAUGUAUAAAAGGAGCCUUCUCGAGAGCCUGCAGGUCUAAGACCACAGCGAUAGGAGGACAGGGCAAGAACCUCUGUUCCAGAAGGAUUGGGACCAGGAAGAAAGCUGCAGAGAGGCAGGCUCGUGCUCACCUGCAGUCAUGCCCAUCUUGCCCACCUGCUGUCUGCGACUAGGCCAACUCCUAAACCUCUCUGAAGCUUAAGACCUGCCACAGUGGGCUGUGCCAGAGUUGGAGUGGAGACUCACUGAGAUCAUCUAGAAGAGGCACCUGCCUCAAAGCCUUCAGGUCUGCAUUGUGUUUUUCUAGGGUCACUCAUCUAUUCAUCCAACAAAUAUUCAACAAGCACCUGUUACAUACCAGAUUAUUACAUACAUGUGGCAGUGCACGUAACUGUGAAGCUGUGUACUACAGCUGCAGGGCGAGGACUGGGGCUUUAGCUCCCACCUUGUGCAAUGUGGGAUCUUCUCCAUCGUCAUAUCAAGCCACCCCACGUGUAUUUAAUGUAAGUUGGAACACUGUGCUUGCUACAAAAGUCAGCUUCAGAAGAAGCCCCUCCGUGGAUCACCACCUCCCUACAAGCUGCAGUCCUAAUCUCCUAUGUCAAAAUCAGGGACUGCUGCUGCCCCGGGGGGUUUAGAGAUGAAGACCCAGACUCUGACUGAGGAGUCUCCCAGUGAAAGGAAGGAGGCAGAAGCCCAGUCACCAGUGACGCCACCCAGCUGAGUGGACCGCGCAGAGGGAGGCGGACGCAGGGCACUCCAACAUGGACCUGAGAGGCACACACUGCAAUGCAAAUCCUCCACGAUAGUCCACAGGAUGUACUGGGAGAAACUGGAAGGCCACAGGAGAAACGUUUGCUCACGAAAACACAGGCAUUUCAUGUGCCUGGAGCACGGGAUGAAGAAUUCCUUAGACUUUGAGUGCCAAGCUAGUGCUUGGACUUUCUUCUAAAGGUCAUGGGUGAGCCCUUGGGGAAUGUGGAGACCACUCCGGCCUGCGAUGGAGAAGGAAAUUGUGCCAGAAGCUGGGAAGUCAAAGUUAACCCUCCAGGCUAGAUUGCUUGAAAUAGGUGUGCAAACAAUUCACAUAUUAUAAAUACGUUGACUUGGGCCGGGUGUGGUGGCUCACGCCUGUAAUCCCAGCACUUUAGGAGGCUGAGGCAGGAGGAUUACUUGAGGUCAGGAGUUCCAGACAAGCCUGGCCAACAUUGCAAAACCCUCUCUCUACUAAAGUACAAAAAUUAGCCGGGCAAGGUGGUCCGUGCCUGUAAUCUCAGCUACUCAGGAGGCUGAGGCAGGAGAAUCGCUUAAACCCAGGAGAUGGAAGUUGCAAUGAGGCGAGAUCACAACAACCCACUCCAGCCUGGGCGACAGAGCAAGACCCUGUCUCAAAUAAAUAACUAAAAUGAAAAUAAAUAAAUUGAUUUGUUUUCAUUCAUAUAUUUUGGGGAUACAAUGGAGCUUAAAGUUUGAAAACCAAAACGGAGCUGGCCACCAAAGGUGUGGAUUUGGUCAACAGGGUGUGGACUCCAGCAGCCCGUGUCACUCUCAGACUCCAUGUCUCAAUUUGAAUGUUUCCAUGUCACUUAAAAAGUAGAAUAUUCAUAGUGAUGUUGAAGAUACAAAAGAUAUACCAGGAUUAAUUUUCUAGUCAAUUUUAUGUGUCUGUGACCCAAGACAAUAAAAGUUAAGUCAUCGUUAGUUCCUUAGUUGCUGGACACUUUAGCCCAAUAUACCACCUUCAAUUUUGAAUUAUUAUUUGGACUGUGUUCAUGAGAUUCUUGGAGUAUGUUAAAUCAACACAUUUCUUUGUAAUUAUUGAGAACCUUUUGUUCCCUAUAAAAUCAAGUGUACGAUGAUGUAAACUAUAAAACGCAAAUUGUAGGGACAAUUGGUAAUCUGCAGUGAAAAUAAAGUCAAAAUAGCAAAGAGCAGAUUAUUCUCAAAUUUAUGUAACAGAGUUCUUACAUGUGGAAGUGGAUACAAGUAUUAGCACAUUCAGUUGAUGUACUGAAAAUAAAAUGAAACUAUUUUUCUACUUACUACUUGCUUGUGAAAUCCAAAGGGGUGAAUAAGAGCCAGGAUUCAUUGUCAUGAGUGUAGGGGUGCCCUGGGAAGGAGGCCUCCAUCCCACGUGUCAGUGGCGUCAUCAGAAAUUCCAUGAUCGUCGGCUUAUUCUUUGCACACGUGUCUACAGGGUCCCUCCGCACACCGACUUGGUGUCCUCCAGGAUGCAGAAAACCCAAAUUAAACUAGUUUAAUGAAUAAGGAAACUAAGUGGCUCUUAGGACCAUAAGCCCUGCGGUGACGCCUGCUUCAGGGCUGGAGGAGCUAAGUGUUCUCUGGUUCACCAAAGCCCCCAGUUCUUUCCGUCUGUCACUCAUAGCUUCGGCUUCGUCCCCGGCUCACUGCCAGUGGUAAUCAGGCUGCCCAAGAACUUCUGAAAUCCACAGCCCGGUGUUUCCAAACGAAUUAUCAGUAGGGUUGGAAUCCCUUCUCCCCAGCCCCAGCCCCAGCAAGGCCCUCCAACGCCACUGCAGUUCCCUGGAUAGCAGGAAGAGGCCUGAGCCGGCUCUCCCGGAGCUCCAGGUGCAGAGUCUCCCCACAUGGGAGUCAGUGUUCUCAGAGCAGCAUUUGUUGACCUGAGCUAACCAAGUUCUCUAACUGAAAGCCUGGCUGUGUAAAGCCACAGAUGUCUGGCAUUAGAAUAGCUCAAGGACAGGAGAAAAAACUGACAAUCAGUCCAGAACGGCAUCCCAGGACUUCUGCUCUGAGGAGAAAACAGGACUAAACCCCAGCUGAGGUCUAUUUCCAACUCCAAGAUUCUGCAAUGUUAUCUCUGUUUAAAAAGAUAUCCCACUUUUUGAUGACAGUGUGUCUGGAAUUGGUGGGUUCUUGGUCUCACUGACUUCAAGAAUGCAGCUGCGGACCCUGGCGGUGAGUGUUACAGCUCUUAAAGGCGGCAUGUCCGGAGUUUGUUCCUUCUAGGUGGGUUCCUGGUCUCUCUGGCUCAGGAGUGAAGCUGCAGACCUUAGCGGUAAGCUGUUACAGCUCUUAAGUCAGCGCGUCUGGAGUCGUUCGCUCCUCCCGGUGGGUUCGUGGUCUCGCUAGCCUCAGGAGUGCAGCUGCAGACCUUCGUGGUGACUGCUACAGCUCAUAAAAGCAGUGUGGACCCAAAGACUGAGCAGUAGCAAGAUUUAUUGCAAAAGACGAAUGAACAAAGCUUCCACACGACAGACACAAACCCUAACAGAUUGCCACCGCUAGCUCGGAGAGCCUGCUUUUCUUCCCUUAUCUGGCUCCACCCACAUCCUGCUGAUUGGCCCAUUUUACAGAGAGCUGAUUGGUCUGUUUUACAGAGAGCUGAUUGGUCUGUUUUGACAGGGUGCUGAUUGGUGCGUUUACAAUCCUGAGCUAGACACAAAGGUUCUCCAAGUCCCCACCAGAUUAGCUAGACACAGGGUGCUGAUUGGUGCAUUUACAAACCUUGAGCUAGAUACAGAGUGCUGAUUGGUGUAUUCACAAUCCCUUAGCUAGACAUAAAUGUUCUCCAAGUCCCCACCAGAUCAGCUAGACACAGAGUGCUGAUUGGUGCAUUUACAAACCUUGAGCUAGAUACAGAGUGCUGAUUGGUGUAUUUACAAUCCCUUAGCUAGACAUAAAGAUUCUCCAAGUCCCCACCAGACUCA
This 4198-nucleotide long non-coding RNA is filed under the name Homo sapiens (human). RNAcentral describes it as "HSALNT0206777". The record is from RNAcentral. Lineage: Eukaryota; Metazoa; Chordata; Mammalia; Primates; Hominidae.